AAAUGCGAUAAGUAGUGUGAAUUGCAGAAUUCAGUGAAUCAUCGAAUCUUUGAACGCACAUUGCGCCCUUUGGUAUUCCAAAGGGCAUGCCUGUUCGAGCGUCAUUUGUACCCUCAAGCUUUGCUUGGUGUUGGGCGUCUUGUCUCUAGCUUUGCUGGAGACUCGCCUUAAAGUAAUUGGCAGCCGGCAUACUGGUUUCGGAGCGCAGCACAAGUCGCACUCUCUAUCAGCAAAGGUCUAGCAUCCAUUAAGCCUUUUUUCAACUUUUGACCUCGGAUCAGGUAGGGAUACCCGCUGAACUUAAGC
Molecule: unclassified non-coding RNA, 306 nt
Filed under: plant metagenome
Description: partial contains 5.8S ribosomal RNA, internal transcribed spacer 2, and large subunit ribosomal RNA
Rfam family: 5.8S ribosomal RNA (bases 1-104)
Source: RNAcentral